This 332-nucleotide ribosomal RNA is filed under the name Oryza sativa (Asian cultivated rice). RNAcentral describes it as "bacterial SSU rRNA". It matches the Rfam family "Bacterial small subunit ribosomal RNA", at positions 21 to 290 of the family's 1533-position model. Lineage: Eukaryota; Viridiplantae; Streptophyta; Magnoliopsida; Poales; Poaceae. The record is from RNAcentral.
GGCUCAGAAGGAACGCUAGCUAUAUGCUUAACACAUGCAAGUCGAACGUUGUUUUCGGGGAGCUGGGCAGAAGGAAAAGAGGCUCCUAGCUAAAGUAGUCUCGCCCUGCUUCAAAACUACAGGGCCCCCGCUACGGCUUUGACCUAACCGCCUCCGUUUGCUGGAAUCGGAAUAGUUGAGAACAAAGUGGCGAACCGGUGCGUAACCGUGGGAAUCUGCCGAACAGUUCGGGCCAAAUCCUGAAGAANGCUCAAAANCCCUGUUUGAUGAGCCUGCGUAGUAUUAGGUAGUUGGUCGGGUAAAGGCUGACCAAGCCAAUGAUGCUUAGCUGG